GGCACCUACGGGGGCCUAUAACCACAGCGCACCUACGGGGGCGCAUAAGCAAAACGGAAGACAGAG
RNAcentral lists this non-coding RNA (66 nucleotides) under uncultured Sulfitobacter sp. RNAcentral describes it as "L2-Alphaproteobacteria ribosomal protein leader". It matches the Rfam family "L2-Alphaproteobacteria ribosomal protein leader". Lineage: Bacteria; Pseudomonadati; Pseudomonadota; Alphaproteobacteria; Rhodobacterales; Roseobacteraceae. The record is from RNAcentral.